AUGAACUGGAUGAUGACGACAACUCACUAGAUGAAGAAAAUGAUCCUUUCUUGAGAGCACUAAGGAAUGAAAAUCAGUAGGAAGUUUAAAAAGUGUCACAGGGUACAUCGAAAAUAAUUAGCUUUUUGACCCCCCUUUCUCGUCGCAGAGAUUGAGCUCAGUUUGUAUAUAUCAGAAUCUGAGGUUAACGAGCACUGCUCUAAGCUUCAUCUAUUCCAUGAUUGGCAGCUAUUUAGAGUUGUCUCACGUCUAACAUGAAUGAUUGUCAUGCUUGAUUGCUAAUACAGAGGUUGUGACCUAAAUGUUGCUUACACAGACAGGCGGCCCACCUAAGAACUGGGCAGUUGAACCGCUUUCUGUGCGAGCAUAUAAAGAAGGUUUAUGAACACUAUUCAGAUGCUUAAGGAAUGUCGUCUUCUGUCUCUGUUAUUGAAUGAAUCUAUGUUUCUUCUUUAAGGGGUAAUGUACUUUUAUAAGAUUAGGGAAUUUUUUACCUGGAUUUGGUUUAUAAUGACAUUUAAAUGUAAAAUAAUUGAAGUUCAUAUACUUGUAUCUUAGCUUCAUAAUGAAGCAAGUCUAUUUAAGUUUUUUCUAUAAGAUCAUUAUUGUGCAAUGGCAUAUGUCUAAAACUUUUCUUUUCAAUAUCAAUUACAUCUUAGCA
This 661-nucleotide unclassified non-coding RNA is filed under the name Hevea brasiliensis (rubber tree). The record is from RNAcentral. Lineage: Eukaryota; Viridiplantae; Streptophyta; Magnoliopsida; Malpighiales; Euphorbiaceae.